UCGUGGGGGGGUAGAGGGCAAUUCUACCUCACCGGCGAACGGGUGCGUAACACGUGAGCAACCUACCGAUUUCUGGGGGAUAGCCGGCCCAACGGCCGGGUAAUACCGCAUACGCUCAUUGGGGGACAUCCCUUGGUGAGGAAACCUCCGGGGGAAAUCGAGGGGCUCGCGGCCUAUCAGCUAGUUGGCGAGGUAAUGGCUCACCAAGGCGAUGACGGGUAGCUGGUCUGAGAGGAUGGCCAGCCACAUUGGGACUGAGAGACGGCCCAGACUCCUACGGGAGGCAGCAGUGGGGAAUCUUGCGCAAUGGUCGAAAGACUGACGCAGCGACGCCGCGUGCGGGAGGAAGCUCUUCGGGGUGUAAACCGCUGUUGCCCGGGACGAAGGCUGGACUUCAGUCCAGUUGACGGUACCGGGUGAGGAAGCACCGGCUAACUCUGUGCCAGCAGCCGCGGUAAUACAGAGGGUGCGAGCGUUGUCCGGAAUCACUGGGCGUAAAGGGCGCGCAGGUGGCGGCAUAAGGCCGCGGUGAAAGUCUGGGGUCAGCCCUCAGAUCGAUCCGCGAUCGACUGUUCCCCUCGGGGUACCGUAGAGGCAGAAGGAAUACCGGCUGUAACGGUGGAAUGCGUAGAGAUCCGGAAGAACACCAGUGGCGAAGGCGGUCUGCUG
RNAcentral lists this ribosomal RNA (669 nucleotides) under uncultivated soil bacterium clone C114. Its description in RNAcentral is "bacterial SSU rRNA". It matches the Rfam family "Bacterial small subunit ribosomal RNA", at positions 62 to 731 of the family's 1533-position model. The record is from RNAcentral.